RNAcentral lists this ribosomal RNA (498 nucleotides) under uncultured bacterium. Its description in RNAcentral is "bacterial SSU rRNA". It matches the Rfam family "Bacterial small subunit ribosomal RNA", at positions 11 to 507 of the family's 1533-position model. The record is from RNAcentral.
GUUUGAUCAUGGCUCAGAUUGAACGCUGGCGGAAUGCUUUACACAUGCAAGUCGAACGGUAGAGGGGGCAACCCCUUGAGAGUGGCGAACGGGUGAGUAAUAGUAUCGGAACGUGCCCAGUCGUGGGGGAUAACGUAGCGAAAGUUACGCUAAUACCGCAUACGAUCUAAGGAUGAAAGCAGGGGAUCGCAAGACCUUGCGUUAUACGAGCGGCCGAUGUCAGAUUAGCUAGUUGGUGAGGUAAAGGCUCACCAAGGCGACGAUCUGUAGCGGGUCUGAGAGGAUGAUCCGCCACACUGGGACUGAGACACGGCCCAGACUCCUACGGGAGGCAGCAGUGGGGAAUUUUGGACAAUGGGGGCAACCCUGAUCCAGCCAUGCCGCGUGAGUGAAGAAGGCCUUCGGGUUGUAAAGCUCUUUCGGCCGGGAAGAAAUCGCACAGGCUAAUACUCUGUGUGGAUGACGGUACCGGCAUAAGAAGCACCGGCUAACUACGUG